This 46-nucleotide non-coding RNA is filed under the name Schistosoma mattheei. The record is from RNAcentral. Lineage: Eukaryota; Metazoa; Platyhelminthes; Trematoda; Strigeidida; Schistosomatidae.
GCACUGCUGACGAGUCCCACAAUAGGACGAAACGGCCGUCCAGUGU